UAGCGGGACGAAAUUGUCGGGCUGGCUACGCCACUGAAUCGCACCCGUUGCUCUCAGCAACUCCCGGCAUCCCUGCAGGGAAACAAGAGUAUAUAGUGUACCUGCGCCAAUGGUUUUUGGUAAAAAGUAAACCUCAAGUGUUUUUUGAUGGGCGUAUACACGGGGUAGCGUAUAUACGGGGGGGGGGGCUGUAAUAGUGAUAAACAAGUAUAGUUAUAGUGAUAAGUAGUGAUAGUAGUGAUAAACAAGUGGGCUUAUAUUUGGGUGGGCUUAUAUUUGGUAUAUUUGGAGGGCUUAUAUUUGGAAUGGUGUGAACGUUAGUAAUAUGUAUAGGUUAUUCUGAGGCAACGAGGGGAUAUGUGAUUUAUUCACCGAGGCGCGCAGCGCCGAGGUGAAUAAACACAUAUUUCCGAGGUGCCUCAAAAUGUACGUACUUAUUUUUCACACUGCGAGGUCGCGUUAAU
This is a non-coding RNA of Paramuricea clavata, 464 nucleotides long. NCBI's taxonomy places the organism in Eukaryota, Metazoa, Cnidaria, Anthozoa, Malacalcyonacea, Plexauridae. The record is from the annotation of a GenBank genome assembly.